CUGUUCCGGCCCCGCGGCCGGGAGAGAGGAAAGUCCGGGCUCCACAGGGCAGGAUACUCCGUAACGCGGAGUGGGGGCGACCCUAAGGAAAGUGCCACAGAAAAGACACGGCCCACCCGGCGGGUUUCCGCCGGCGGCAAAGGUGAAAAGGUGAGGUAAGAGCUCACCAGUACCGUUGGCGACAGCGGUAGCUUGGCAAACCCUAUCCGGAGCAAGAUCGAAUAGGAAAGUGUUCGAGGGCGGCCCGUCCGAUGCUUUCGGGUUGAUCGCU
This 271-nucleotide RNase P RNA is filed under the name Nitrospinaceae bacterium. Its description in RNAcentral is "RNase P RNA component class A". It matches the Rfam family "Bacterial RNase P class A", at positions 20 to 280 of the family's 367-position model. Rfam says of the family: Ribonuclease P (RNase P) is a ubiquitous endoribonuclease, found in archaea, bacteria and eukarya as well as chloroplasts and mitochondria. Its best characterised activity is the generation of mature 5'-ends of tRNAs by cleaving the 5'-leader elements of precursor-tRNAs. Lineage: Bacteria; Pseudomonadati; Nitrospinota; Nitrospinia; Nitrospinales; Nitrospinaceae. The record is from RNAcentral.